RNAcentral lists this ribosomal RNA (652 nucleotides) under uncultured Gammaproteobacteria bacterium. Its description in RNAcentral is "bacterial SSU rRNA". It matches the Rfam family "Bacterial small subunit ribosomal RNA", at positions 35 to 722 of the family's 1533-position model. Lineage: Bacteria; Pseudomonadati; Pseudomonadota; Gammaproteobacteria. The record is from RNAcentral.
GCUGGCGGCAUGCUUAACACAUGCAAGUCGAACGUGAAAGCACUUCGGUGUGAGUAGAGUGGCGGACGGGUGAGUAACGCGUGGGAAUCUGCCCAGUAGUGGGGGACAACUACCGGAAACGGUAGCUAAUACCGCAUACGCCCUAUGGGGGAAAGGCUUCGGCCGCUAUUGGAUGAGCCCGCGUCAGAUUAGCUAGUUGGUAGGGUAAAGGCCUACCAAGGCAACGAUCUGUAGCUGGUCUGAGAGGACGAACAGCCACACUGGGACUGAGACACGGCCCAGACUCCUACGGGAGGCAGCAGUGGGGAAUAUUGGACAAUGGGCGAAAGCCUGAUCCAGCAAUGCCGCGUGUGUGAAGAAGGCCUGCGGGUUGUAAAGCACUUUCAGUUGGGAAGAUGAUGACGUUACCAACAGAAGAAGCACCGGCUAAAUCCGUGCCAGCAGCCGCGGUAAUACGGAUGGUGCGAGCGUUAAUCGGAAUUACUGGGCGUAAAGCGCGCGUAGGCGGCUAAGUCAGUCAGAAGUGAAAGCCCCGGGCUCAACCUGGGAAUUGCUUUUGAUACUGCUUGGCUAGAGUUUGGUAGAGGAUAGUGGAAUUCCAGGUGUAGCGGUGAAAUGCGUAGAUAUCUGGAGGAACAUCAGUGGCGAAGGC